CCAUCAACCAAACCCUCUCUUUCUUGCAUCUUCAAUUUCUCUUCCUUUCCUGGCUCUUUCUCCCUUUCUUGUCAACGUUCUCAUCUUUCAACACUAUGCUAUCUUGUCUUUCUACUUACUCUGCCUCUUACCCUAUUUAUCCAUAUACAUGUUGUAGUUCCUUCUCUCUCCUAUAUUAGAGUAUAUACUUUUUGAGGGCAUGUACUGUAUUAUUUUCCAUUCUUACACCCCCAACAAUGAGCCUCAUGCAUAGUAGUCACCGACUAAACAUUUGUUGAAAUAAAUGAAAUCCCUAAUUUAUAUUUAUAAUUUUUAUAUUUAUAUAUACAUAUAUAUUGAGGAAACUUAAGUUGGUAGUCUCCAAAUUCCUUCACUUCUAGCUGGUCAAUUUCCUUCCUAAAAUUGUGAUCCCCAGAACCAAGUGCCAUACUCUAGGCGGGGUCUGACCAACACUGAACAGAGUAGAAUUAUCUUCUCUCUUGCUCAGAACAUUCUAAUCCAGAACAGAGCUCCAAAUAGAACGUUCUCAAAUGUUCACCCUUAGAAGCUCUAAAAGGGUGCCUGAGAAGACACAUUGAACUGGUCUACGAAGGACUUUGCGUGCUGCCUCAUUUGAGCAUUGUGUUCCAUGCUCUCCCCAUCUCCUGAUGUUCCAGGCUGUCAUUCAGGAACUGCAAUGAGCACAAAGGAUACAAAGGAGGAUAGUCUUUGCCCUCAAAAAGAAAAAAUUAAAUAAGCCACUGCGUAAGUAUAGUCAGAAUUAUCCAGACGUAGUCUGUGUCCCUUGUAGCAUCAACUCUGAUAUCAUUGUGGUUACAUACUCUUCCUAUAAAAAUUAAAAGGAGGCAACUUUAAUUUAAAAUUUUGUGAUUUUCAUUGGUUAAACUUCUCUAUCUUCAUUUUUAAAUCAUGUCGUCAGUUAUACAAACCAUUUAAAGUAAAAAACUGGGGAAAAGCAGAUUUCCUUGACAUUUGAUGCCCUUCAUUUAUUUCUG
RNAcentral lists this long non-coding RNA (995 nucleotides) under Monodelphis domestica (gray short-tailed opossum). RNAcentral's name for it is "lncRNA (ENSMODG00000039208.1)". Lineage: Eukaryota; Metazoa; Chordata; Mammalia; Didelphimorphia; Didelphidae. The record is from RNAcentral.